AGUGAACGCUGGCGGUAGGCCUAACGCAUGCAAGUCGAACGGCAGCACAGUAAGAGCUUGCUCUUACGGGUGGCGAGUGGCGGACGGGUGAGGAAUACAUCGGAAUCUACUUUUUCGUGGGGGAUAACGUAGGGAAACUUACGCUAAUACCGCAUACGACCUACGGGUGAAAGCAGGGGAUCUUCGGACCUUGCGCGAUUGAAUGAGCCGAUGUCGGAUUAGCUAGUUGGCGGGGUAAAGGCCCACCAAGGCGACGAUCCGUAGCUGGUCUGAGAGGAUGAUCAGCCACACUGGAACUGAGACACGGUCCAGACUCCUACGGGAGGCAGCAGUGGGGAAUAUUGGACAAUGGGCGCAAGCCUGAUCCAGCCAGACCGCGUGGGUGAAGAAGGCCUUCGGGUUGUAAAGCCCUUUUGUUGGGAAAGAAAAGCAGCAGGUUAAUACCCCGCUGUUCUGACGGUACCCAAAGAACAAGCACCGGCUAACUUCGUG
RNAcentral lists this ribosomal RNA (492 nucleotides) under uncultured bacterium. RNAcentral's name for it is "partial 16S ribosomal RNA". It matches the Rfam family "Bacterial small subunit ribosomal RNA", at positions 29 to 507 of the family's 1533-position model. The record is from RNAcentral.